GACGAACGCUGGCGGCGUGCCUAAUACAUGCAAGUAGGACGCUGAAGAGAGGAGCUUGCUCUUCUUGGAUGAGUUGCGAACGGGUGAGUAACGCGUAGGUAACCUGCCUUGUAGCGGGGGAUAACUAUUGGAAACGAUAGCUAAUACCGCAUAACAAUGGAUGACACAUGUCAUUUAUUUGAAAGGGGCAAUUGCUCCACUACAAGAUGGACCUGCGUUGUAUUAGCUAGUAGGUGAGGUAAUGGCUCACCUAGGCGACGAUACAUAGCCGACCUGAGAGGGUGAUCGGCCACACUGGGACUGAGACACGGCCCAGACUCCUACGGGAGGCAGCAGUAGGGAAUCUUCGGCAAUAGGGGCAACCCUGACCGAGCAACGCCGCGUGAGUGAAGAAGGUUUUCGGAUCGUAAAGCUCUGUUGUAAGUCAAGAACGGGUGUGAGAGUGGAAAGUUCACACUGUGACGGUAGCUUACCAGAAAGGGACGGCUAACUACGUG
This 497-nucleotide ribosomal RNA is filed under the name uncultured bacterium. RNAcentral's name for it is "partial 16S ribosomal RNA". It matches the Rfam family "Bacterial small subunit ribosomal RNA", at positions 28 to 507 of the family's 1533-position model. The record is from RNAcentral.